This 355-nucleotide long non-coding RNA is filed under the name Mustela putorius furo (domestic ferret). RNAcentral describes it as "lncRNA (ENSMPUG00000029559.1)". Lineage: Eukaryota; Metazoa; Chordata; Mammalia; Carnivora; Mustelidae. The record is from RNAcentral.
UGACAAUUUACCAUGUGAUUAAAUUUGGCUUCUUACACAGCAUACAUGGGAGGACAGAAGCCACACAACAAACAAGAUAGCAGAAGGGCUUUUGCUGGACACAAGUUCCUGCUUGACAUGAGAGACUCCAUUUUGCACUCUACAGAAAGGAACAGAAGAAUUAUUUGGAACAAUAAUGGAUAUGAAUCUUCCCAGUUAAUAUAAUACACGAAACUACAGAUCACAGAUCCAGGAAACUCGAGAACACCAAGCAGGAAAAAUGAAAACAACAACAAAACUAUACUUAGGCAUAUCAUUUUCAAACUACAGAAAACCAAAGACAAAGAAAAAAAUCCCGAAAGAAGCCAAAUAAAAA